RNAcentral lists this ribosomal RNA (727 nucleotides) under uncultured bacterium. RNAcentral describes it as "bacterial SSU rRNA". It matches the Rfam family "Bacterial small subunit ribosomal RNA", at positions 771 to 1498 of the family's 1533-position model. The record is from RNAcentral.
AACAGGAUUAGAUACCCUGGUAGUCCACGCCGUAAACGAUGUCGACUUGGAGGUUGUUCCCUUGAGGAGUGGCUUCCGGAGCUAACGCGUUAAGUCGACCGCCUGGGGAGUACGGCCGCAAGGUUAAAACUCAAAUGAAUUGACGGGGGCCCGCACAAGCGGUGGAGCAUGUGGUUUAAUUCGAUGCAACGCGAAGAACCUUACCUACUCUUGACAUCCACGGAAUUCGGCAGAGAUGCCUUAGUGCCUUCGGGAACCGUGAGACAGGUGCUGCAUGGCUGUCGUCAGCUCGUGUUGUGAAAUGUUGGGUUAAGUCCCGCAACGAGCGCAACCCUUAUCCUUUGUUGCCAGCGAUUCGGUCGGGAACUCAAAGGAGACUGCCGGUGAUAAACCGGAGGAAGGUGGGGAUGACGUCAAGUCAUCAUGGCCCUUACGAGUAGGGCUACACACGUGCUACAAUGGCGCAUACAAAGAGAAGCGACCUCGCGAGAGCAAGCGGACCUCAUAAAGUGCGUCGUAGUCCGGAUCGGAGUCUGCAACUCGACUCCGUGAAGUCGGAAUCGCUAGUAAUCGUGGAUCAGAAUGCCACGGUGAAUACGUUCCCGGGCCUUGUACACACCGCCCGUCACACCAUGGGAGUGGGUUGCAAAAGAAGUAGGUAGCUUAACCUCCGGGAGGGCGCUUACCACUUUGUGAUUCAUGACUGGGGUGAAGUCGUAACAAGGUA